GUAAAAGAAAGCGAGAGAAAAAGAGUCCUAUCAAAACAUUUUAACAUUUCAACAUAGUAAUAAUAUUUUGAAACCUAUGAGCCUUUUUAAACAGUUCACUUUCAUAGAAAUCUUCAUCAUUAGGACAGUUAUGACAUGAACACUGGUCAGGUGUGGAAGCUUUUUUUUCAUUCUGCUGUCAAAGUGUUGAUUCAGACUGCAGGAGACAGUGUGUGAGAGCAGCUGCUUACAUAUGGAGACCUGAGCCGAAAUUCAUCACUACUCUGAAUCAUCACUUGGACUGUGCGCUUGGAUUUAUUUUAUUUUUAAUUUUUUUUUGCCUGAAACUAAAUAAGAAAUGGAGAGGAAUGGAAACUAUACUAUGAGGAUGAAAUAUGCCAGUGUUCAGCACAUGUGAAACAUUAAAAACUGAGUUACUUUGCUGAUUGGGCAUAAAAUCGAGGCUGUGUGUGGAUACGAUGCCCUGAGCUAGCUCAAUUGAUUCCAGAAGGGUGGACUGUGUUGAGAUGAGAUCCCUGUUUUUUACUAGUUUGAAUGAUGACCGAGCAGCUUCUGUGGAGGAAUGGCCCCAGUUGGAGCCGUUAUCUGUGGCAUUAUUCUGGCAGAGCGAUGGGCUGGACCCUGGAAGGGACAGCUGAGUCAUUUGGCAGAGACCAGCAAGCCAAUUGGUCAGGGAAGUUAUGAGGACAACACUAGAUUUGUGACCACCUUACAGCACUGUCUCACCCCAGGAAGCUCAGCCAGCGGGUCAGGGAUGACUUUCAAGACAAAAAUCAUUACCAGCUAAUAGCCCCUACCUAAUGUAUAGC
Cyprinus carpio carpio is the source of this 809-nucleotide long non-coding RNA. The record is from Ensembl. Lineage: Eukaryota; Metazoa; Chordata; Actinopteri; Cypriniformes; Cyprinidae.